CCGGGUGCGGUGGCUCACGCCUGUAAUCCCAGCACUUUGGGAGGCCGAGGUGGGCAGAUCACGAGGUCAGGAGAUCGAGACCAUCCUGGCCAACACAGUAAAACCCCGUCUCUACUAAAAAUACAAAAAUUAGCUGGGCACGGUGGUGCAUGCCUGUAAACCCAGCUACCAGGUACUCGGGAGGCUGAGGCAGGAGAAUCGCUUGAACCAGGGAGUCGGAGGUUGCGG
This 228-nucleotide long non-coding RNA is filed under the name Homo sapiens (human). RNAcentral's name for it is "LHRI_LNC71.1". Lineage: Eukaryota; Metazoa; Chordata; Mammalia; Primates; Hominidae. The record is from RNAcentral.